GAAGUUUGGACCGUGUCUCAGUUCCAAUGUGGCCGAUCACCCUCUCAGGUCGGCUACUGAUCGUCACCUUGGUGAGCCGUUACCCCACCAACUAGUUAAUCAGACGCAGGCCCAUCCUUAGCCGAUAAAUCUUUGGCUGCCGAAACAUGUGUUUCAACAGCAUUAUGAGGUUUUAAUCAUCGUUUCCAAUGGCUAUCCCUCUGCUAAGGGCAGGUUGCCUACGCGUUACUCACCCGUCCGCCGCUUUCCUCUGAAUCUCUUUGACGAAUCUCCAAUCAUCAGAUUCUCGCUCGACUUGCAUGUAUUAGGCACGCCGCCAGCGUUCAUCCUGAGCCAGGAUCAAACUACU
RNAcentral lists this ribosomal RNA (349 nucleotides) under uncultured Clostridiaceae bacterium. RNAcentral describes it as "partial 16S ribosomal RNA". Lineage: Bacteria; Bacillati; Bacillota; Clostridia; Eubacteriales; Clostridiaceae. The record is from RNAcentral.